Non-coding RNA from Pelodiscus sinensis (Chinese soft-shelled turtle), 472 nucleotides. The record is from RefSeq and is a predicted model, not a curated record. Lineage: Eukaryota; Metazoa; Chordata; Testudines; Trionychidae.
CUACACAUGACCAGUCUUCUGUAGUGAACAAAAAUGGCAUCUAAAUCCCAAGUGACACUCUUAAGCAUUUGGCAGCAGAAGGGCUCGUCUGAGAAAGAUUAAGUUAAUGGAAGCAUUUGGGUAACAUCUGCAUGACUCUUCAUCCUGAUCACAUUAGCUGUUUUGGACAUCUGUUUUCCAGCAUCACAUUGGAACUUCCUCUACAGCUGACUGUUCACCUUGACUCCCAAACCUUUAUUCAGAGUCAUUGCUUCCCAGGAUUGAGGCUUCCAUCCUAAAGGGAGUUGGGGGACAGAUGGCAGAAACAGACAAAAAUUUCCCAGGGGAGGAAAGAGAAUUACUGCAGAAGAUCAGGAUCAGACCUGAACAGGAGUUUUAAACUAGGAACUGGUGAAACAAGAUGAAUUGGACCAUGCAGACCUACCAUGCCUACAAGGAAUACCGAGGAUAGAGGUGGACUAGACUUUGAAGC